UAUACAUGAUGAUGUCCACUUCAUGGUCCGUGUUUAUGAAUCCUAUGAUCUUAGUGGAAGUUCUGACUCU
Molecule: small nucleolar RNA, 70 nt
Organism: Megalobrama amblycephala (Wuchang bream)
Lineage: Eukaryota; Metazoa; Chordata; Actinopteri; Cypriniformes; Xenocyprididae
Product: small nucleolar RNA SNORD18
Exons: 1
Source: RefSeq, a predicted model, not a curated record